Drosophila biarmipes is the source of this 908-nucleotide long non-coding RNA. RefSeq lists it as uncharacterized. NCBI's taxonomy places the organism in Eukaryota, Metazoa, Arthropoda, Insecta, Diptera, Drosophilidae. The record is from RefSeq and is a predicted model, not a curated record. The transcript has 3 exons.
CUGCCAAGUUACAUUUCAAACAGAUUUUCACCAGAAAAUUUCAAAAGGAAACGGAAAUGCACCCGUGACCCUGCGCACCCUUUGGCCCCCGUGAUUCCGCUUUCCAUUGGCGUGUUGCAGCGCACAAAACGUUGGCGACAGCAGCAAGUUAAUAGUUUAUGGCCAGGAUGCGAUUACACGAGCUCCAUUUUCCGAAUGGGCCUUGACCUACACUGCCGCCUGGCUGUGAUGCAGCUCGGACCUUGGGCCAAAUGAAUUCGGACUGAAAAUCACUUGACAUAACGCUGGCGGGUGGCUGCUGGCUGCUGGCUCUCCCGAGGUGCCGAGCUGCCGAGCGCGUUAAGCUCGUGUGAUGCCUGCUGUUCUCGUCCUUGCGAAUCAAUCGAUUGUCUGAACUGCAUUCAGUGCACUUUGAGGCUGAAAAGAUGCCUCUGCAGCUUUUGAUGCCCUGUAAAGCGGGGAUAGUAUGACAUUCACCACAGGUUGGCAAAGCAGUUUUUGAAACAUCUAUCUGUAAAGUGAAACAGUGUCCAUUCUUAGUUAAAUGUACCUUAACCGAAUGCUCCUAAUUUGAUUUCAAACUAUUCAAGGAUAUCAAAUUUCCUAUUAAAACAUUUGAAUUUUGGCCAUCAUGUCUGGAAAAUUCCAUUCCAAAUAUAUCUUAAACCUACCCCAGACUGGCUAAAUUGUAAUGAUUCUAAAUUUAAUUGUUUGUAAUGACAAAUCAAGGCUAUCAAAUUUCUUAUUAAACCUUAAGAUUCGUGAAACUUUUGUUUUAAUCUGUCAUGGAUACAAUCGGCCUUAAAGGGUACACCCAUUUUCGAUCUGCCAGCCAAAAGGACUCCUCGCUUGUCCUUUCCCCCGUCAUUUCCCCGUUUUCCCCCUCUGCCCAAACCCCACUUUCAGCU